CGGACGGGUGAGUAACGCGUGAGUAACCUGCCUUACACAAGGGGAUAGCCGUUGGAAACGACGAAUAAUACCCUAUGACAUAAACUCUUCGCAUGAGGAGCUUAUCAAAGAUUUAUCGGUGUAAGAUGGACUCGCGUCUGAUUAGCUAGUUGGUGAGGUAACGGCCACCAAGGCGACGAUCAGUAGCCGGCUUGAGAGAGUGUACGGCCACAUUGGGACUGAGACACGGCCCAGACUCCUACGGGAGGCAGCAGUA
This 256-nucleotide ribosomal RNA is filed under the name uncultured Anaerococcus sp. Its description in RNAcentral is "partial 16S ribosomal RNA". It matches the Rfam family "Bacterial small subunit ribosomal RNA", at positions 99 to 355 of the family's 1533-position model. The record is from RNAcentral. Lineage: Bacteria; Bacillati; Bacillota; Tissierellia; Tissierellales; Peptoniphilaceae.